This 394-nucleotide ribosomal RNA is filed under the name uncultured bacterium. Its description in RNAcentral is "bacterial SSU rRNA". It matches the Rfam family "Bacterial small subunit ribosomal RNA", at positions 775 to 1174 of the family's 1533-position model. The record is from RNAcentral.
GGAUUAGAAACCCCGGUAGUCCACGCCGUAAACGAUGGAUACUAGCUGUUUGAGAGCAAUCUUGAGUGGCUAAGCGAAAGUGAUAAGUAUCCCACCUGGGGAGUACGAACGCAAGUUUGAAACUCAAAGGAAUUGACGGGGGCCCGCACAAGCGGUGGAGCAUGUGGUUUAAUUCGAUGAUACGCGAGGAACCUUACCAGGGCUUAAAUGUAGUGGGACAGGCUUGGAAACAGGCCCUUCUUCGGACUCAUUACAAGGUGCUGCAUGGUUGUCGUCAGCUCGUGCCGUGAGGUGUCAGGUUAAGUCCUAUAACGAGCGCAACCCCUGUUGUUAGUUGCCAGCGAGUGAUGUCGGGAACUCUAACAAGACUGCCGGUGCAAACCGAGAGGAAGGU